Molecule: ribosomal RNA, 254 nt
Filed under: uncultured bacterium
Lineage: Bacteria
Description: partial 16S ribosomal RNA
Rfam family: Bacterial small subunit ribosomal RNA
Source: RNAcentral
UACGGGGGGAGCAAGCGUUGUUCGGAUUUACUGGGCGUAAAGGGCGCGUAGGCGGUCAGCACAAGUCAGUUGUGAAAUCUCCGGGCUUAACUCGGAAAGGUCAACUGAUACUGUGUGACUAGAGUGCAGAAGGGGCAACUGGAAUUCUCGGUGUAGCGGUGAAAUGCGUAGAUAUCGAGAGGAACACCUGCGGCGAAGGCGGGUUGCUGGGCUGACACUGACGCUGAUGCGCGAAAGCCAGGGGAGCGAACGGG